Molecule: ribosomal RNA, 420 nt
Filed under: Pilophorus clavatus
Lineage: Eukaryota; Metazoa; Arthropoda; Insecta; Hemiptera; Miridae
Description: eukaryotic LSU rRNA
Rfam family: Eukaryotic large subunit ribosomal RNA
Source: RNAcentral
AUUGACCUCGGAUCAGGUAGGGAUACCCGCUGAACUUAAGCAUAUCAAUAAGCGGAGGAAAAGAAACCAACAGGGAUUGCCUCAGUAACGGCGAGUGAAGCGGCAACAGCUCAAAUUUGAAAUCCGGUUCUCUCUUCAGGGCCCGAGUUGUAAUUUGUAGAGGAUGUUUCGGGCGCGGCGCGGGUCUAAGUCUUUUGGAACAGGGCGUCAUAGAGGGUGAGAACCCCGUAUGCGACCCGUGACCAAGCCCGUGUGAAACCCCUUCGACGAGUCGAGUUGUUUGGGAAUGCAGCUCAAAAUGGGUGGUAAAUUUCAUCUAAAGCUAAAUACCGGCCAGAGACCGAUAGCGCACAAGUAGAGUGAUCGAAAGAUGAAAAGCACUUUGGAAAGAGAGUCAAACAGUACGUGAAAUUGUUGAAA